This is a non-coding RNA of Phoenix dactylifera (date palm), 2292 nucleotides long. Lineage: Eukaryota; Viridiplantae; Streptophyta; Magnoliopsida; Arecales; Arecaceae. The record is from RefSeq and is a predicted model, not a curated record.
GCAUGAAUUGAAAAAUAAAAUAUUGCACCAUGUAUUGACUGGCUAGACUUGUGCUCACAAGGCAGAUUGGGUUUACCUUCAACAGGCUGAUAUUUCUUAAAUUUAGGUAACUUUGAGAUACAAAUUUAUCUAUCACAAGAAAUAGUGGCUACUUUUUGAAUUCAGGCAAUCUUGAAAUGCAAAUUUAUCUAUCGCAAGAUAUAGUGGACAGGACCAUGAAAAGGAUAACAGCAAAAAAAUUCGUUUUACAGAUUCACAGAUUGAUGCAAAAUCUUCACAAGCCGGCAAAUUGAGUGUAUAAGAAAAUUUUUGGGGAUGAAUAAUGGUUCCAAUUAGCUAAUCAUAGUUGGCACAUCUAGGCUUUGACUAGUUCCAACAGCCGAGCCAGGCUUGUUGAGGUCAUCAGGCGUAUGCUUAAGUCUAAUGAGACUCUGAGACUCAAAUGAGAAUGGAUUUGGGAAGUCCGGUAAAGAGAGGACUAAUCUUGGAUUGUUAUGAUAAUUCUAAAAAUAUCAUAUGUUAGUAAAAAAAAAAGGAUUUAGUUGAACCCUAGUGAUGCAUAGAUGAUGUUCAAUGAUUAGAUAAGUUAGAUUAGCUCUGGAUGAGUUAGGAGCCAGAUUGGCACAUGUAAGACCCGGAUGAGAUCAAAAAGGUCCAAUUUGAUGCUUCAUUGUAUUGAAAAUCAUAUAUAGCAUGUAUCAAGGUAUGCUGAACCGAUCAGUUCUGGUCGGUUCAGCCUGUACCGUACCGGUGCCGACAGGCACCGGUACGGUACAGUAUAUAAAAACGGUUCCGACUGGAUCGGAACCGAUUGGUUCCGUACUUGUACCGGUGCGAACCGGUCCGGUUCGCACGGGCCCAAACGCGUUUUUUCCGUGCAUCCACAUGCGGGGAAGAGCGCAGACGCGUGCGGACACAUAGUUUUUUUUUUUUUGGGAAUCACGCGUAGACGCGCGAGCGGAGAAUCAUGUGCCCGCACGCGAUUCCCCGUGCAGGAACCGCGCCCGCGGCUGAUUCCCCAAUAGAGAAUCACGCUCGCGCGUGGUUCCCCGCACAGGGCAGUGCGCCCACGCAGGCUGCCAGCCCGCGUAUGGCAUUAAAUGCCACUAUAUGGCAUUUAACGCAUUUGCGGACGCGCGCGGACGCAUUGUUUUCUUAUUUUUUUUAGUUUUUUUUUUGACGUCCGCGCACGCGCGGCUGCGAACGCGCUCGUCUCCAGUUCGGUAUCGGUUCCAACCGGUACCGAACCGGUACCGUACCAGUACCGGUGUUCACCGGUACGGUCGGUCCGGCGAACCUUGCCAUGUAUGAAUUUCAAUGGGAGAAAAAACCUGUCUUUUUAUGGCAUGUUAGUUUACUAAAUGAGUGUAAUUAUCUUGAGCUGAAUUAGGUAUAGAACAUGAUGUUGCUUGAGGCCAUCAAACAUGCUGAAGUAUCAUGCUGUACAUUGUUCAUGGUUAUAGAAUGAAGUGAUGAUAAAGUGCUGCAAGGAAAUGGACCCUAGAAACAGAUUUAAACAUAUACCCAAGUGCCUGGUCAACAAGAAUAUGGAGAAGGGGGACAUGUAGGAAAAAAUAAAUUAUUUCAACCAAGUUAUGCAUUUUAAACUUAGAAUAUUGAAGGGAAGAAAAAAUUUAAAGAUCUUACUUGUUAAUGUUCUCCAAUAUAUGCAUCUAACAACUAAGAUCCCAAAUUAUCUAAAAGGUUAUAAGAAAGAUGACAUUUCGGAUAAGUUAUUUAGUAUUUAUUCCUUGACUAAUACUCUAAAAGGAAGAUAAGCUCAUUUUAAACAUCAUUAUGGCGGAUCAAACCUAUUGUUGGAAAAUUCUACUAUUACAGCUUAACUUGGAAGCCUAAUCCUAUGUACAUGGAUGUCAAAGUCAUGGAAUGGCCAUGCGAGCCAUGCAACAUGAUUUUGCAGCAUGUCACUCAAGUAUGCUGGUUUAGUUGUGAAAUAUCGGUCUUUAGAGCAAAGUCCGAGUCUUUAUAGUUUGCCACACAAAUAACGUACUUAGUUGGAAGCAAAGUUUUCCAUACCGAUCGAUACCGUACCAUACCAGGCAAUACCGUAGUAGUACCAAACUGGUAUGGGGUACAGCACUGUAUUGACACUCGGUACGUUGAAUCUUAUGACACCAUACCAUGUAUUGAUACUGUAAUAAGAUGGUACCAGUAUGGGAUCUAGUACUGAGAUGGCAAACCUCGGUUGGAUGAAUUGUAUAGUUGAGAAGCCCUAAUGUUGUCUAGAACUCUCUUCUCUAAAAUCUAUAACUAAAGAAUCUGAUAGCAGUG